Molecule: ribosomal RNA, 493 nt
Filed under: uncultured bacterium
Lineage: Bacteria
Description: bacterial SSU rRNA
Rfam family: Bacterial small subunit ribosomal RNA
Source: RNAcentral
AUUGAACGCUGGCGGAAUGCUUUACACAUGCAAGUCGAACGGCAGCACGAGAGCUUGCUCUUGGUGGCGAGUGGCGAACGGGUGAGUAAUAUAUCGGAACGUAUCCAAUAAUGGGGGAUAACUAAUCGAAAGGUUAGCUAAUACCGCAUACGCCUACGGGAAAGCAGGGGAGUCUUCGGACCUUGCGUUAAUGGAGCGGCUGAUAUCUGAUUAGCUAGUAGGUGAGGUAAAGGCUCACCUAGGCUUCGAUCAGUAGCUGGUCUGAGAGGACGACCAGCCACACUGGAACUGAGACACGGUCCAGACUCCUACGGGAGGCAGCAGUGGGGAAUUUUGGACAAUGGGCGCAAGCCUGAUCCAGCCAUUCCGCGUGCAGGAUGAAGGCCCUCGGGUUGUAAAACUGCUUUUGUACGGAACGAAAAAGGUUUGUCUUAAUACGAUGAGCUCAUGACGGUACCGUAAGAAUAAGCACCGGCUAACUACGUGCCAGCAG